This 235-nucleotide ribosomal RNA is filed under the name Clostridioides difficile. RNAcentral's name for it is "partial 23S ribosomal RNA". It matches the Rfam family "Bacterial large subunit ribosomal RNA", at positions 1744 to 1990 of the family's 2925-position model. The record is from RNAcentral. Lineage: Bacteria; Bacillati; Bacillota; Clostridia; Peptostreptococcales; Peptostreptococcaceae.
AGGGGUGCCAACAUCCGGUGGCCGCAGAGCAUAGGCCCAAGCGACUGUUUACCAAAAACAUAGGUUUCUGACAAGUCGCAAGACGAUGCAUAGGAGCUGACGCCUGCCCGGUGCUGGAAGGUUAAGGGGAUCGGUUAGAGCAAUCGAAGCAGUGAACUUAAGCCCCAGUAAACGGCGGCCGUAACUAUAACGGUCCUAAGGUAGCGAAAUUCCUUGUCGGGUAAGUUCCGACCCG